RNAcentral lists this ribosomal RNA (1111 nucleotides) under Acinetobacter johnsonii. RNAcentral's name for it is "bacterial SSU rRNA". It matches the Rfam family "Bacterial small subunit ribosomal RNA", at positions 350 to 1453 of the family's 1533-position model. The record is from RNAcentral. Lineage: Bacteria; Pseudomonadati; Pseudomonadota; Gammaproteobacteria; Moraxellales; Moraxellaceae.
AGCAGUGGGGAAUAUUGAACAAUGGGCGAAAGCCUGAUCCAGCCAUGCCGCGUGGUGAAGAAGGCUUUUUGGUUGUAAAGCACUUUAAGCGAGGAGGAGGCUACUUAGAUUAAUACUCUAGGAUAGUGGACGUUACUCGCAGAAUAAGCACCGGCUAACUCUGUGCCAGCAGCCGCGGUAAUACAGAGGGUGCGAGCGUUAAUCGGAUUUACUGGGCGUAAAGCGUGCGUAGGCGGCUUCUUAAGUCGGAUGUGAAAUCCCUGAGCUUAACUUAGGAAUUGCAUUCGAUACUGGGAAGCUAGAGUAUGGGAGAGGAUGGUAGAAUUCCAGGUGUAGCGGUGAAAUGCGUAGAGAUCUGGAGGAAUACCGAUGGCGAAGGCAGCCAUCUGGCCUAAUACUGACGCUGAGGUACGAAAGCAUGGGGAGCAAACAGGAUUAGAUACCCUGGUAGUCCAUGCCGUAAACGAUGUCUACUAGCCGUUGGGGCCUUUGAGGCUUUAGUGGCGCAGCUAACGCGAUAAGUAGACCGCCUGGGGAGUACGGUCGCAAGACUAAAACUCAAAUGAAUUGACGGGGGCCCGCACAAGCGGUGGAGCAUGUGGUUUAAUUCGAUGCAACGCGAAGAACCUUACCUGGUCUUGACAUAGUAAGAACUUUCCAGAGAUGGAUUGGUGCCUUCGGGAACUUACAUACAGGUGCUGCAUGGCUGUCGUCAGCUCGUGUCGUGAGAUGUUGGGUUAAGUCCCGCAACGAGCGCAACCCUUUUCCUUAUUUGCCAGCGGGUUAAGCCGGGAACUUUAAGGAUACUGCCAGUGACAAACUGGAGGAAGGCGGGGACGACGUCAAGUCAUCAUGGCCCUUACGACCAGGGCUACACACGUGCUACAAUGGUCGGUACAAAGGGUUGCUACCUAGCGAUAGGAUGCUAAUCUCAAAAAGCCGAUCGUAGUCCGGAUUGGAGUCUGCAACUCGACUCCAUGAAGUCGGAAUCGCUAGUAAUCGCGGAUCAGAAUGCCGCGGUGAAUACGUUCCCGGGCCUUGUACACACCGCCCGUCACACCAUGGGAAUUUGUUGCACCAGAAGUAGGUAGUCUAACCGCAAGGAGGACGC